UGCCUAGCCUGGGAGUAUCUCAUGACCU
Molecule: non-coding RNA, 28 nt
Filed under: Mus musculus (house mouse)
Lineage: Eukaryota; Metazoa; Chordata; Mammalia; Rodentia; Muridae
Source: RNAcentral